Molecule: ribosomal RNA, 555 nt
Filed under: Peckoltichthys bachi
Lineage: Eukaryota; Metazoa; Chordata; Actinopteri; Siluriformes; Loricariidae
Description: partial 16S ribosomal RNA
Rfam family: Bacterial large subunit ribosomal RNA
Source: RNAcentral
CAAAAACAUCGCCUCCCGCAAAAAUCAAUGUAUAGGAGGUCCUGCCUGCCCAGUGACUAUAAGUUAAACGGCCGCGGUAUUUUGACCGUGCAAAGGUAGCGCAAUCACUUGUCUUUUAAAUGAAGACCCGUAUGAAUGGUGUAACGAGGGCUUAACUGUCUCCCCCUUCUAGUCAAUGAAAUUGAUCUAUCCGUGCAGAAGCGGGUAUAAUAAUACAAGACGAGAAGACCCUUUGGAGCUUAAGACAAAAGACCAACUAUGUCAAAAGUCCUGAAAAAGACUAAACCAAAUAGUACUGGUCCUAAUCUUCGGUUGGGGUGACCACGGGAGAAAACAAAGCUCCCAUGCGGACUGGGGUUAUUCCCUAAAACUAAGAGAGACAUCUCUAAAACACAGAACAUCUGACCAUAAAGAUCCGGCUACAUGCCGACCAACGGACCAAGUUACCCUAGGGAUAACAGCGCAAUCCCCUUCCAGAGUCCAUAUCGACAAGGGGGUUUACGACCUCGAUGUUGGAUCAGGACAUCCUAAUGGUGCAGCCGCUAUUAAGGGUUC